AGACACGGCCCAGACUCCUACGGGAGGCAGCAGUAGGGAAUUUUCGGCAAUGGGGGAAACCCUGACCGAGCAACGCCGCGUGAAGGAAGAAGUAAUUCGUUAUGUAAACUUCUGUCAUAGAGGAAGAACGGUGGAUAUAGGGAAUGAUAUCCAAGUGACGGUACUCUAUAAGAAAGCCACGGCUAACUACGUGCCAGCAGCCGCGGUAAUACGUAGGUGGCGAGCGUUAUCCGGAAUUAUUGGGCGUAAAGAGGGAGCAGGCGGCACUAAGGGUCUGUGGUGAAAGAUCGAAGCUUAACUUCGGUAAGCCAUGGAAACCGUAGAGCUAGAGUGUGUGAGAGGAUCGUGGAAUUCCAUGUGUAGCGGUGAAAUGCGUAGAUAUAUGGAGGAACACCAGUGGCGAAGGCGACGAUCUGGCGCAUAACUGACGCUCAGUCCCGAAAGCGUGGGGAGCAAAUAGGAUUAGAUACCCUAGUAGUCCACGCCGUAAACGAUGGAUACUAAGUGUCGGGGUCAAAGCUCAGUGCUGCAGUUAACGCAAUAAGUACUCCGCCUGAGUAGUACGUUCGCAAGAAUGAAACUCAAAGGAAUUGACGGGGGCCCGCACAAGCGGUGGAGCAUGUGGUUUAAUUCGAAGCAACGCGAAGAACCUUACCAGGUCUUGACAUCGAUCUAAAGGCUCCAGAGAUGGAGAGAUAGCUAUAGAGAAGACAGGUGGUGCAUGGUUGUCGUCAGCUCGUGUCGUGAGAUGUUGGGUUAAGUCCCGCAACGAGCGCAACCCCUGUUGCCAGUUGCCAGCAUUAAGUUGGGGACUCUGGCGAGACUGCCGGUGACAAGCCGGAGGAAGGCGGGGAUGACGUCAAAUCAUCAUGCCCCUUAUGACCUGGGCUACACACGUGCUACAAUGGACAGAGCAGAGGGAAGCGAAGCCGCGAGGUGGAGCGAAACCCAUAAAACUGUUCUCAGUUCGGACUGCAGUCUGCAACUCGACUGCACGAAGAUGGAAUCGCUAGUAAUCGCGAAUCAGAAUGUCGCGGUGAAUACGUUCUCGGGCCUUGUACACACCGCCCGUCACACCAUGAGAGUCGGUAACACCCGAAGCCGGUGGCCUAACCGCAAGGAAGGAGCUGUCUAAGGUGGGACUGAUGAUUGGGGUGAAGUCGUAACAAGGUAUCCCUACGGGAACGUGGGGAUG
This 1195-nucleotide ribosomal RNA is filed under the name human gut metagenome. Its description in RNAcentral is "bacterial SSU rRNA". It matches the Rfam family "Bacterial small subunit ribosomal RNA", at positions 322 to 1520 of the family's 1533-position model. The record is from RNAcentral.